AGGGAGGGGAGGGGAGGGGUGAGGAGGGGGAGUGGAGCGGGGCGCAGCACCGCCGCACGGCGGGCGCGGUGAGAGCCCGGGCCGGUCGGGAGACAGGAAAGAGCCCGGUUUUCUCUCCCCGAAGUGAGGAUGAGGAGGGGAGGGAGGGAAAGAGGAAGCGUGGGAGGGGGACUGGAGCGCCCUGGAUGGGGCCACAAAGGAGGAAAGCCAGCCAGAGGAGGAGGGGAGAGAAAGCCCGGACCAGCUCCACCUGGGGAACCCCGCGCCGUUGCAGGCACUUUUCUGAACGCACCAAACUCCCAACCCGGAAAGCGAGAGCUGGAAAAAGAGGAGGAGGGAAGGGGAAAAAAAAAAACCUCCACGAACCUGGGAAAAGCAGGAGGCCGCCGCCUACCUGUGGCUCCCCGAACUGGAGCCUCACCCUUCCCGGCCAGCCAAGGUAGCUGCUCCCGGCCCGGCCCCGAGGCCCUCGGUCCAGCGGGACUCCCCAGGGAGAAGCCAGCCCGCCCGGCCUCCUCUGCUCGGCCAAAGGGGCCAAGCAAGAGAGGGGGCACGUCUCGCCUCAGCCCUUACCCCCGCCGUGCUGCGGGCCAGGCCAGAGGUGCUGCUCCAAGGCCCAGGGGGAUACUAAGCCAAGGCAGGCACCAUUGGCCAGAAGGUGACAUCCCCACUGCUGUCCCUGCUGUCUGACAGGACACUGACCUUGGGGGAGCCAUCCCUGUCCUUGGAGUUAUGUUUGGAUAAAAGCCAUGCUACCAGUGGUGCAAUGGAAGAAUCAAAGCUAACUGCAGUGGGAAUGGCACCGUGGAGGAAGUGGUAGUUGUGAUGGCCUAAGGAUGUGAUUCAACUGCACACCAACAAUGUGCAACACCUCUUUGCCUCUAAAAGAGGAGCUCUCCUGCCUCUGCUUCCUUCCUUCCAUUCCUGCUCACAGAUGCAUGAUCUGAAUCUUGCUCUGCAAGCAUCUGAAGUCAUCAGUGUGGAAGAGCUGCAGCUCUGCUGCAUAAAAGGAGGCAGCUGAUAUGCUGUUAAAAAAUUGCAGGAACAUGUACUCUUUGCACUUUGAGACACAGCAGUGAGUUGGAUCAUCCUCAGGGGAGGUGAACAGUGGAGACAAUCGAGACUGUGAAUAGAAACACUUGCAAGAGAUCAUAGAGCCUAGGAAAAUACAACUAUAGCACAACAACCCCUUCAGAAUUCAAGUGAUCAUCAGAGGUUUUUGGUCCUGGUGUUCAAUUGAAUAGAGUGCGAAAAGAAGACUGCCAGUCACCGUGGUUGUGUGGAAUCAGAGACAACCUGCCUUUAAGACUCCAAUUCUUGGAAAAUGGAAAGAAUCCCAACCUAUACUUUCCCAAAGAGAAACCAAGUUGCUGAGAAAUUAUCUCAAUGGGUCAAUAACAGUACUCCUGGAAAUUGCCAUACUAAUUUUCUUCAUUUGGUUGAGGCAUUUCUGUGUCUCCUAAGAGAGUGCAUUCUGCUCUUCCACUUCCUUCACAGCAGAAAAACUUCUGAUAUAUUUUUUCAUUGAAAACAUAGAAACAUUUUUCACUAGACCAGGUUUCUCAAAACACCACGCACCCUGACCUUCACCACUUCAAGGGAUGGGGGCAUCCCCAGCUUCUCUUUGCUACUUGGUCCAAUGUCCCAGCACUCUCACCAUGAAAAAUUUCUCCCUUAUAUCUAAUCUAAGUCAUUUAUAACUAUUCCUUAUUACUGAGUUUCAUAGCUACAGGUAUGCAAACAACCAGUGACUGUACAACAGGAAUACACAUGUCAUCAUUUGUGCAAGAAAACCUACAUCUGGAAAAACAAAGGCUGUAGAAAAUAUCAACUGAAAAUCAGAAUAAACACAGACUUUUCAUAGAUGUUGACCA
This is a long non-coding RNA of Serinus canaria (Common canary), 1874 nucleotides long. The record is from Ensembl. Lineage: Eukaryota; Metazoa; Chordata; Aves; Passeriformes; Fringillidae.